GCCGGAGUAGCUCAGUUGGUUAGAGCAUCAGAAUCAUAAUCUGGGUGUCGGGGGUUCAAAUCCCUCCUCCGGUA
This 74-nucleotide transfer RNA is filed under the name Desulfobulbaceae bacterium. It matches the Rfam family "tRNA". From Rfam's summary of the family: Transfer RNA (tRNA) molecules are approximately 80 nucleotides in length. Their secondary structure includes four short double-helical elements and three loops (D, anti-codon, and T loops). The record is from Rfam by way of RNAcentral. Lineage: Bacteria; Pseudomonadati; Thermodesulfobacteriota; Desulfobulbia; Desulfobulbales; Desulfobulbaceae. RNAcentral also lists the same sequence under 1 other name.